This is a long non-coding RNA of Anolis carolinensis (green anole), 22265 nucleotides long. RefSeq lists it as uncharacterized. The transcript has 2 exons. The record is from RefSeq and is a predicted model, not a curated record. NCBI's taxonomy places the organism in Eukaryota, Metazoa, Chordata, Lepidosauria, Squamata, Anolidae.
GGCGGGAAAGGGAGCCGGAAAGGCAACAAAGGGAGCGCGAGGGGAGCCGAGCCUGCCCCCUCCUCCUCCUCUCCAGGGACCACCCACCGGGCCAGCGAGAGAGAGAGAGAGAGAGAGAGAAGGGGCUUUUCUCCUCCGCGCCCCUUCUCUUCUCUUCCCUGCAGCGACAGGGUCACCGGCGUCGCCUGCCCCCUCCCUCGCCCAGGUCGGGGAAACCCUGACUUGCAGGCGCCGAGGGAGCCCACCAAGCUGCCUUCCUCCAGGGGAUGGGCCAGCUGCUCUCUCGGUGCCAGCCCUGCAGGCAUUCCUGUCGCUUUACGCAAGCACGCAACCUGGGACUCCUUGGGCGAAUUUAAGCCCCCCCCCCACCUCUCUCAGGGCAGAAUAAUAAUAAUAAUAAUAAUAUAAUUAUUAUAAUAUUAUAAUAAUUAUUAUUAUUGUCGAAGGCUUUCAUGGCCGGAAUCACUGUGUUGCCGUGAGUUUUCCAGGCUGUGUAGCCAUGUUCCAUAAGUAUUCCCUCCUGACGUUUCGCCCGCAUCUGUGGCAGGCAUCCUCAGAGGUUGUGAGGUCUGUUAGAAACUUGGCAAGUGGGGUUUAUAUAUUUGUGGAAUUCUCAGGGUGGGAGAAAUAACUCUUAUCUGAACCAAGCGAGAAUGUUGCAGUUGGCCACCUUGAUUAGCAUUGAAUAGCCUUUCAGCUUCAAGGUCUGUCUGCUUACCGCCUGGGGGAAUCCUUUGUUGGGAGGUGUUUGCUGGCCCUGAUGGAUUCAUGAUUGAAAUUGUUCACAUGCUUGUGAUUUCAAUGGUUUCUCUGUGUAGUCUGACGUGGACACAGCAUAUUAUUUGAAAACACAGAAAUGCUGGACCAACUCUAACAACUACUAUGUCAGACUACACAGAGCAACCAUUGAAAUCCACAAGCAUGUGGGCAAUUUCAACAGAAAGGUUGAAACCAUGAAAAUGAACAAAAUCUGGUGACCAGUAUUAAAAAAAAAACCCCUCCAAAAUCAAGACAGUAAAUAACACCACUCAGAAAACAGGAUUCCAGACAUGAAGCAAUUAGGGCCAGCUAACACCUCCCAACAAAGGAUUCCCCGGCAGUAAGGAGCCAGACCUUGAAGCUAAGAAGCCAUUCAAUGCUAGUCAAGGUGGCCAAUUGCAACAUUCACACCUGCCUCAAACAGACAAGAGGUCUUUCUCCCACCUUGGACAUUCCACAGAUAUAUAAACGUCAGGCAAAACAUCAGGAGAUAAUGCUUCUGGAACAUGGCCACACAACCUGGAAACCUCACAGCAACACAGUGACAGGAUGUCAACAAAGAUAUUAUCAGGAAAUUGUGCUUGAAUUAUAGAAUAGGGUACAUCAUGUCAAAUAAAUACAUAAUAUCUUGUUUUAAACUCAAACAUAAACUGAAUGACAACUUAUGCUACAUUUCAUACCAUAGUGUAGUUUUAGUACCUUUAUUUUACUUUAGUAGUAAUGGCGUUCUCUUUCAUUUUGAAUCUCAAAAUAGGAAGCAAAACCCACAUCUCACUUAGGUGUUGGAGCUCUUCUGGCAGGUCAUUUCACUUUGCUAUCUCCCCCCCCCCCAACCCCGGUAUUCGGAGGCACAGCACAAGUUGAGUCUGCCUUGUCUGGAAUUCCGAAAAAUGUCCACACCGAUGGCUGAGAUUGUGAUGCCUUUGCUUCCUGAUGAGUCCAGUGUGCACAAACCUUACUCCAUGCACCAAUUUGGUGAAAUAUUGUGCAUACAAUAACUGUCAGGCUAUGUGUGUGGCUGAAACAUCAGUGAAUUUUGUGCACACACUUGGUCUCAGCCAAGGUGUCUAAUGAUGUAUAUGCAAAUAGGCCAAAAUAUGAAAUAUGGAAUACUUACAGUCCCAAGCAUUUUGGAUAAGGGAUACUCAACCUGUAUUGUAUACUCUGCCAAUAGAGCCAGGGUUUUACAAAUGUCAGCAAAACAACUGGCAGGUGUCUGCUGUGGCUUCAGAAUCCACCCAACCCAAGAUGCUAAAGUCUGAUAAGCUUUCUUUCAUUGUUUUUGACUUUUGCUGUUGAUUCUUGGUGAAAAACCCAACUGGUUUUGUAAACAGUGUGAGGUCCUGUUUAUCCAGGAAUACUUUGGGUUUGUGACCCACUGACUCUUUAAAUGAAAAUAUUUGCAUUCAAAUUGGUUAGAGUUCUGGUGAGCAACCCUAUUUAAAUAAGAAAUAUGCAAGUUGUGCAUGCAUCACAGAUUUUCAUUCCAGAGAAGGAUUCAUGUUUUCCUGAGCAGUUGGUGUGAAGUAGUUAUGUUUAAUUGUGUAAUGUGCUCAUAGCUUUUCAGGUUUAUAAGGAGUAUUCACUAAACAUAUGUGCUCUUCUCACCAGUUCCGCCUUGGCUCCUGUUAAUAUUAAAUAUGGUUUGAACAGUGGGAUUGUUCUUUUAUUCGGGUCCUCAGGUUUUGUUACAUCUUAAGCAUUUUAGAAUUACUCACGUGACCAGCUAGAAUGCAUGGAUUGCUUUCAAAAUGCAAGUAAUUUGUGGCAUUUCACAUGUGUCCAGGGAUAGGUGAGUCCUCCAUGAAGGCAUAGCAUUCUUUCUUAGAUAUCCUCUCCUUGGGGGAUAUUUGCUUCAGAUCUGCAUUUGUGAUUGUUUUGACAGCCCUUGGCUACAGUGCCAGAGGAAGGGGAAGAUACACACAGAGAUACAGACAGGGUAUGAUGGCAGUGCCAUAUGAUACAUGAGAAAAUUUGAGAGGAAACAGUUUAUGAGAGAGGGCAUGUCAUGAAAGCAAACAUCACGUUUUAAUUAAACACAAAAUCUCCUUUCAUGUAUUAUUUUAUGUAGGAAUGAGUUUAGAAGUGGGGGUUAAGCAUGGCUCUUGUCUCUAUGGGAAAGAUCCUAGGCUCAUUUCAGCAGACAUUGAAAUGAAUAGAAGGUUGGGGAAGAGCCUCAUGUCAGACAUGCAGACCGUAUUACUUACCAUUUGAAAAAAGGUAUAGCAACUUUAUAUACUCACAAAUAGGGAUGAACGAGUUACUGUGAUCUGUAUCAGUUUCAUAAGUACUGAGUCAUCCAUUCAUUCUAUGUGGUUUCCACAUCAGUUUGCAAACUUGAAAAUAUGCAAGAAAAUGUGACAGUUUUUCCCAAUACGCAGUUUUUUUGAAUGGAGAACUUUUUGCAAAAUUUGAAGUUAUGCAGCCUAAGAGUAAAGUGUGUUCUGAGGCAGGUAUUAGCCCAGGAAGUGUGUAUUGAAAUGGGUUGCUCAACCCAAAUGAAAUUCUGGCCUGUUCCUAGCCAAAGGCAACAAUGAAUUCCAUGUAGGCAAUUAAACGGUAUUGUGGAGAUGCAUAUUUCCACCCAUUCUUUAUUAAUCCAUUCAAUGAAAGGAAUUCUCAGACUGACUGGUUAAGAAACUACUAUGUUUCUGUUCAGGGUUGAAGACUUCAUUGGCAGCCUGCAUGCAUUACUAUUACUAGUCUGUAUAUAUCAGUGGUUCCCAACCUUUUUUUUACAAGGAACCACUUUGACCAGGGACCACUCUCCAACAUUAGUACUGAAAGGGUUAUAAAUCAGUUUUUGGUCAACUUUAGAUUUGGUUUGGUUAUCUGGGGUGUUGAUUCAGAAAAGUGUAUUGGAUAGACCAUAUCAGCUCUAGUUUCUGAUACAGAACACAUGCCAUCUAGUAGUCGCCAUCUGCUUGCCCACAGAAAACCAUAUUUAAAAAUCUAAAGCUGAUGUGGUCUACUCAAUGCAAUUUUCUGAAUUAGCACCCCAAAUAACCCCAGGAACAGUCUAAAAAUGAAGACAGCAAGGCGCCCCCGUUUCCAGGCACCACAUGGAACGGCUCCACUUGGGGAGAGAAGAGGAGGAGGAGAAGCAACAGUUAGGAGCCUUUCAUGGGUAGUCAGCCUCUCCCCUGCCAACAUUCCUAUUGCCUCAGCACUAUAAGAGGGUUUUGUGAGACCAGUCACUCUGGUUGCAACAGUGUAGUAAUGGUGAGGCCACAGACCAUAUUUUAGUUUUUGGGGACCCCUGGUGGUCCACAAACCACAGGUUGGGAACCACUGGUAUAUAUGCUAAAUUGUGCUUCUGACAAGAUAACUUCUAAUUUGACUUAGUUUAUCUUCAUAUAUGACAAUUCUUGUGUUUUUCACUUAUAUUUCUUCUGGUUUGUAUGGGAUAUGAAGUAAAUGGAAGUCUAUAUACUACAUAUUUGUUUGAUGUUAGAAUAGGACUCUGAGAAUGAGUGUUUGAAUCCCUGCUGGGCCUUGGAAAUCGACUGGAUGACCUUGAACAAGUCACAUAUUCUCAACUUUGGUCCAAGGAGGUUUGUGCGUGACUUGCCCAAGAUCAUUCAGUGGGUUUCCUUGAACAAUUGAUUAUUUGAAUCUUUGUAUCCCAGUGUGCUAGCCCAACACUCCAACCAAUACAUCCCACUGGUAUUAUGGUUAUUGUAGGCCAGAAAUUACUUGAAGUCACACAACAGCAUUAAGAACCAAAAUAUUAUUGGUUACUACAAAUUUUUGCCCCACCAGUUAAUAAAAUUGGUACUGUAUACCUCUUCAGUAUGGGGAUUUAGACUCUUAUUUGCUAUUUUUAUAUUAGUUUUUUUGUAACAAGAUGGAGCAAGAAGCUAACUAUCUUUUUCUGGUAAUUGGAGAGUGUAUUCUUUCUUUUACCUUCACUAUCCUUCUGGAGGUUCAGUAAAAUAAGAGUUUGAGAAUUCAUUUUCACAUGAGAGCUAGACUGGAUUUUUAGUUGGAGCUAUAAUACCGAACAUGCAAUGUUUAAAACAGUAAGGAUUUUACAAGUCUGAAGAGUAGCACAUGUUAAAUUUUGCCCCGAUAUAUGACUUCCCUGUGUAUAUCCCUUGAUGCCCACUAUUAGCCAUGGACAGUUAAGCUCAGAUAUCUGCACCCAAUGUGUGAUUAUCGUUAGCCGAGAUUGGGAAAUCUACAUCUUUUGGGCUCACUUCUCCUUUCAGUACUUGUGAGAUAUUGCACAAGUGAAGCUAUUUGCUCAUGAAUUUGUAUCUUCUAUUUUUAAAAAAAUCUUGGUGUUUGUGUGUUUCCUCUCAUCAAAAUUGUGUAAUCUCAUUUUUCAGUGUAGUGAACACUAUCCUUGACAGCUUUAAUAAAAUAAUGUGCAUAGGUCUUACAAUGUGACAAAGGAAGCAUAAUAAAGCAUUAUAUAUAUAUAGUGGGAAGCAAAGCAUGCCCUUUCUCACUUCUUUGUAAUGAAUUUUCCCUUGGGAAAUAGGUUUAUUUGCGUCCUGUUCUGGGUGUGUUUGAAGAUGCUCAUGUAACCACCUGUGUUUUCUGUCUUGAUCUUUUUUAUACCUAAAAUUUCCUUAAAAACACUAGUCAUCUUCUCUUGCCAUGUAUUAUCGUCAGUGAAUAUGUCAAAUAGAUAUUUAUAUUCCUUUAACUGCAAAUUUCACCUGAGGUGGUUUUUACUGAUUUUGAGUUGUAGAUUUCAUCAUUAAAUUAUGAAUUUUGGGAUGUUUUUCAGUUUAUAGUGAAAUGAAUUUAUAGCAUUUCCUUCCCAGAGAAAUGACAUCAAUCCUAAAUAGCCGAUGAAUGCGUAGAUUUUGAGAUUAGCAGGAUUGAAGCUGCUAUGAAUUUUUACAUGGUCUCCUUGUAAAGGAAAUUAAUGUAGCUUUGUGUUUACCUGGAAAUAAGCUCUCUCAAACAAGUAAGAUUUACCUGUUCUGAGUAAACACACACAGGAUUGCAGUGUAAAUUUGUGGUAUCGCCUAUAACAUUUAUCAAGAUAGCAGAUUGAGCCUAUAUUUUAAGUCACCAAACAAUAGAGAACAUUUAUGGAUGAAGUUUGUUUAUAUUCCAUUGAAUAUAGUGAGUUUCAAAUAGUUUUAACUAUGUGUGCUCAACAACAGCUUUCUUCUUAAGAAAUAAAGAUUCAAUUGUCAUGUAACGCAUUCCUGUAAAUAACAAGGAAAUUAAAAACUGGCAGGCACAGCCCUUUUAAAAUAAGUAAACUUUUAAGUGGUGAACUGGGCAAUUAUUUCUGCUUUGAAAUAAAGACUGGCAUUGCAUCUUCACAAUAUAGUAUGUGGAAAGAGAGCCUUUUUGGAAGCAUUUGUUGGCAUUCUGUAUUUAAAAUUGUAGCAAAUAGAUCAUUUUUAUUCUUCAUUGUUUGCCUGCUUGUUUCUCAGCAUGGUCAUAUUUUCAGCUAGUUUUUAAAAAUAAUGAUAAUAAUAAUAUAUAUUUUAUUACUUGCCCACCUUUCCUCAUGUCUCGAGGUGGAUUACAACAUUGUGAAUGCACCUUUCCAUCAAAUGUACUGGGCAGUUUUUCUGCUCCCCUUUCUGUCAUUUAUUUUGUCUGUUCCUCUCUUUCUCUCUCUCUCCCUUCCUCAACACUGUGCCCAUGAUUGAAGAAGUGAGAGAAAUAGUGUGUAAGAGAGCAAAUGAUUACAUAAAGGUGCAUCUACACCAUAUAGAAUUACGUAGAUGCAAUUUGAAUCCACUUUAAUUGCCAUGGCUGAAUGCUAUGCAAUAAUGGGUAUUGUAAUUUUACCAGGCCUUGAGCCUCCUCUGCCAAAGAGUGCUGGUACCUUGCUAAACUUUCAUUCUCAUGAUUCCAUAGCAUUGAGCCAUAGCAGUUAAAGUGCCGUCAAACUGCGUUAAUUCUGUAGUAUCAGUGAAGUCAGUAAUAUGACCAAAGGGAGAUUGGAAUUUAGGUUUCCUUUUUCCUGGUCAAUCCGUAUAGUCUAACUACUACAUUAUACACCUCGGAAUAUGCUCAGACUUAUGGAAAUCUCUGUACACAUGGAAUUCACAAAUUCUGACUUUGGGUUUGUGGUCGAAUGGUUUCUUUUCUUUUUGUUAGCUGUCUUGUUUUCUGACAUAGGCAGAUAAUAGCCUCUGCCUUGUUGUAUUUUGUAACAGAUAUUGCAAUGCUAAGCAGGAUCAUCUGUGGAUAAUGUUUGGGUAGGAGACCAAAAACAAAUACCAGAUUCUGUGAGUUGUUUUUCAGAGAGGACUUAGCAAAAACUUGCCCAACAAAAUCCUAUGAUAUUCAUAUUCAUGAAGUCACAUAUUUGGGAAGGUCAUUAGCAACAAAAAGCCCUUGCUCACACCCUAACCCUGAUGUGAAGUGAGAAAAUAAUGCUUCUUGUUCUCCAGUGAAACUAAAUAUUUUGGCACAAGGUGAGGUUUCAGUCCUCAUAGAGCUUUUUUGAGAAGGCAUACCCCAAAACAGUAAUCACAAUAUUUGCAUUUUUCUAUAGCCCAGUGCAAGACUCUGAAAUGACUGAUUUAGGUUAAUUGAGCAGUUUUUCAAUUGUGUUGAAUUGUUCUGUGACAGUUGUAUGUUCCAACUUCUAUUAUAAAGUUUAAAUGUAACUUUAGUUCUACAAAUACGUAGUGCUGUUUAAAAUAAGUAUGUGUAUGUAUGUAUAUGUGUGUGUGCGUGUGCGUGUGUGUGUAGCUUUGGAAUGCUCAAGGAAGGGUUAACACUCAUUUGCCAUUUGUUUUGCUAUCUGCCCCUGCUCACCAGAUUGCUCAUAAGAUCACUUUCUGUCUCUGUGGUAACUGGAUUUUGAAAAAAUUGUACUGGAAACAAGGUUUGGUAAUAAAGCUUCAGUGGAGAUACCUUUCCCCCAUGAUAACUGUUUCAGGAGUGAAAUUCCCUUCCUAGGGGUAGAUUUCUUUCACUACUAUUGUUCGCUCCCUGUUCUUAACUGUGGGUCUUUUGGAAGUCAGAUGUUUGUAAGUCAGGGACCGCCUGUGCUCUGAUUUUCAAGUUAGUUGGUUUCUCUGUUAUGCUCAAGUAGUUAUGAUAUCUUCCUAUCUGCAAUGAUUAAAAGUUCUGGCAUUAUAAAAGGCAGUAUAAGAAUUGAGUCAGUGGUCUAAUUAAGUACUCUGUAAAUGUUUAGGAUCUCUUUGGCCAUUGGCCAUGUCAGCUGGAUCUAGUGAAAAUUGUAAUACAAACCCAUUAGGUUAUCUGUUACCUCUGCUGUGAUAAGGUUCACUAGAGAAACAUUGAUUCUCAGUUUCAAGAUUUGUUGUCCUAAAUGAAAUAGCAUUAGAGGGCACUUAAACCAUAGCCUUCAGAAUAAAAUGUUAGCAUGAUCUUAGUACUAUAAUAUUAUUAGUUUUAAUUAAACCGCCUGCAGCUCGAAUCUUUAGUUGCAUCAUCCAACCUUGAAAUUCAUUUGUUUAAACCAACUUGAGUACCCCAUUGAGCUAAUGUCUCAUCCUCAAUAUUAUAAUGAUGCCAGUGCAACUGAAUUUUAUUUCAUCUUCCUGCAGUCUUUGAUGGCAUCUGAAAGCGAGAGAUACAAAAGUGUCUGCCUUAGAGGGAUGAGUUCCCUCCAACUCUAAAACUUACGCUGGUAAAAGCAGUUCUAUCAGGAGAUGCCCCCAUUGGCAGUGGGAUUUGUAUAGGUGUUGAUUCACCAUAAAACUGUUGAUUCAGUGAGUUGGUGAAUAGCAGUUCUGGAGCAAAGGCAGUGUAGUUUUGAGUAUUUGACCAGAAGAUUAAGCUUUUAAUAGUUACUGAGUCAUGGAAACCCACUGGUGACCUUGGACCAGUCACACACACUCUCAGCCACAAAGAAGGACAAUGACAAAUAUUCCCUAAAUAAUGAAAUGAUAGGGUCAACAUAAGUCAGACUCAACUUAAAGACACAUAAUAAUGCCAAAUUUGAAAAGUCUAAUUUUUAGCAAGCAUGUUUUCAGAAAAAGAAAAAGUUAUUCAAACUGGAAAACAAUGGUGGGAAAGCAUUUAUCAAUGAUAUAGUUUUAUUGAUUAGAAAAGCCUGAUUGUGUAACAUGUUGAUAGAAUAAAAGAGUAGACAGGUGGAGAUAACAAUUUUUCUUCAAGAGAAAGCUAACAUAUUUAUAACCUCAUUCUCUGUUUUUGAUAGUUGAAAUGCUCCUCUUUUGGUUGUCUUUCGGUCUCUCUCUCUCUCUCUCUCUCUCUCUCUACAGUGUGAAUUAAAAACUCUGCAACCAAUUCUUUCUUUUAUUGCCCUUACCCACAGUUUUAUGGAUUCGAACUGGAUCUUCAGUGUUGUACUUGAAAGAUUCACAUAUUAAAGGGGGGAUAGAUAUUUCACAAAUUAAGGAAGUUUGCAUGCAUGGAGUGUAACUUUUCAAACAAAAAUACAUUGUAUUACUAAUUCUGCAAAGUUGUCAUUUCAGCAUUUGUUUCAAAAAAACUAGUUAUUCACAAGAGAUCCUAAGUGUAACAGGUGCAUCUUUUCCACUUGGUCUUGAAAUUAGUGUGUUUACAUGUGAUAUUAAGCCAUGGUUGAUGCUCCAGGAAAUGCACUCAUGAAGUAAUUAGCAAUUAGCAUACCAGAAGGGCGACAGAAGGAAAAAUUAUGUUGUUAUGGAACACUUUGUCACACUGCAUUGUUCAUGUAUCCUUUUUACUAAGAGGAAGUUGUUCUUUUGUUUUUAUGUUUCAGUUAAAGUGCUUAUCAUGUGAUUCUACUACUAAGUUCCUUAGAACUUGUAUUUAGUUCAUAUUAUGAAGUCAUACACUUCUCUAUGUCUGCUUGAAUAUGAGACCCCUUAAAUUUCCUGUGAUAUGUAUCAUAUAUAUUGUGUGUAAAUAUAUUGUAGAAUAAGAAUAUAGGUCUUCAGAAUUCUGUUUUACCAACAUAGCGCUGUUUCAUUUUUAAUUGCAAAAUGCCUUAUGUGACGGAUAGUACUGCCAGAUGUCAGUAUCUGACUUUGUCUCAGAUCUGACUUAUCUCCUUUUCCCCUGAGCCUAAAGGAGAGGAAUCUGAGGGUAAUAGCAUUGUCCUUAAAACAAGUUUGUGCUUGUUUUGUUCUGUUCACUAUAGGUCACAUUUCUCAAAUGCAAGGCCUGCGGGCUGAUUCCAGCCCACAAUGGUAAUUUUAUGUGGCCCGAGGGCACAUAAAAUGCUAGUUCAACGUAGUUACCUUUCUGUAAUCUUAAUAUUACAAACAACCCUUUGAAGGUAACCAUAAGGCCCUCUGUGAAAAUGAGUUUGACACUCCUGCUGUGGGUUGUAACCCCCAUGUCUAUGAGUCUAUGUUAGAGUUAUACAUUUCUAACUGAUUUGUAUUCACAAUCCCUACAUAUUUAAUAGUGUAGGAAAUAUAUAGGGAUCACAAAAAUCUCCCAGUCCUGACUUAUUGGACAUCAGCUACUGUGAGCAAUGGCAGAUUGAUGUUUCCACUGCCUCCUUCCAACAAUCUCAGGUGUGAAGAGGAAUUGUGACAGGCAUCUCUCUUCUGAAUGUUGCACCAAAGAUUUCUUGAGAUGUGUGUGUGUGUGUGGAAACAUCAGGGAAAAACAGACUGCUUAAGUAUACUAAAUUAAAUUACCGAUCUAACAGGCUGCCCAAAAUUAUCUUUAUAACUUCAAUUCUAUAUUCAAUUCAAAUUUUAAAUAUAAGGUUCAGACACCCUGUAAAAUCUCUUUAAUUUGAUGUAAAUAUUUUAGAUAAAUGUCACAAUAAUUCUGUAAGCCUAAGUAUAAAAACAAAACUGUGUCAAAAAUACUUUCAUGUUAACACUAAAUUAUCUAUGAGACAGCUAUAGAAAAUCUGUGUGUAUGUUGUGUAUUUUAGCAUAAUUACGGUGAAAUGGAAGAUAUAGUAGCUUUUUUUGCACAGUCACUUUUAAUGCAUUUCAAAAUCAGAUAUUCAUGCAUUCAUUCUAAAACUAUAAAUAGCAUUUCUAGAUUUUUAUGCUUUGGAAUUUCAAGGCUGGGGUUAGUGUUUGAGAAUUAAUCCCUGUAAUCUAAAGACAUCUGAGGAUUUCCACCAUGCACCAGGCCAAGGUCUGUCCAGUUACAGAUUAUGCUUUCAACAGUGAGCCAGGCAUGUGCCUCUCAGAAGCUUACAAGUAGGAUAGCAGUAGUCUGGCAUUCAUAAAGAAUUUGCUUUGAAACAUGGAGUUACCUUUUCUGCACAAAAUUUAACGUGCAGAUGGGUUUUAACUCUCUAUAAGCUGCAAAUGAGAUGUCAUCAGGUUACUGAAAGAACACUUCUCCUAUAUGUAUAUAACUUUAAGAUGACUCCAGAGUGCAAGUCUAAUGAAGUGAAAUGGGUCAGUUGCUAGUGAGAAGGACAUUUUGAUAGUAACACUUUGCACAUGGAAUAAACUUAGUAUCAAUUGUGAUCUUUGAUGAAUACUAUUUUAUUCUCUUAAGCCUUUUAUAAUUUACAUCUUAUUGAUCAUAUUUGAUUAUCUUUAAGCUAAUAUUGUCUAGGGUUUACAAAUAAUGGGCAGCAUGCUGGUGUACUUUAUCCAAUUGCUAUCACUAGGGAGGUGUUAACUGGCACCCCAAACAAAGAACGCCUCCAGACACAAUAGCCAGGUAACCUCUAUGCAAAAUACCCUCACUGAUUGACUUUGCAGGUGCAAGGCUACUCAGUGCUAACCAAGCUUUUUAAUUGCAACAUUCACACUUUCUUCAAACAGAAAAGGGUUCUUUCUCCCACUCUAAACAUUCCACAGAUAGAUAGAUAAAUAGAUAGAUAAACACUCCACUUGCCUCAUUUCCAACAGAACUCUGAACAAACUUCUGAGGAUGCAUGCCACAAAUGUAGGUAAAAGUCAAGAGAGAAUGCUGCUGGAAUAUGGCCAUACAGCCCAAAAAACUCACAGCAACCCAAUCAGGAUAUAGAUGGAAAGUCUGUGCUAGCCACAGCUAAAUUCAGAUUAGUCAAGGCAGCACAUGAUAGUAAGUUCAGAUCUCCUAAAUUCUGGGUUGUCACUUCAAAAAUAUAUCAUCCAAUAACAACUACAGUUCUCUUAGCUGUAUUAUAUUUCACUUUUAUUGUGUUGUACUAUGCAGGUUGGGCAUUCCUUGUCUGGAAUACUGAAAUCAGACAUACUCCAAAAUCAUGACACCUUUGCGUUCAGUGCACAUAACUUUGUUUCAUGUACAAAAUGAUUAAAAUAUUAUGUCUAAAAUUACUUCCAAGAUAUGUUUAUAUAGUGUAUAUGAAAUAUUAAUUCUGUGCUUAAAUGUGGGCUCCAUUUCUAAAAUAUCUCAUUUUGCAUAUGCAAAAACAGGUAUUCCAAAACUUGAAAAAAAUCGAAAUCUCAAACAUUUCUGGUUCCAAUCAUUUUGGAUAAAUAAUAUUUAACCAAUCACUGUUUUGUGAAUGACUUCAGAAAUACAUCCUACAUCCUUCCCUACAAAGAUCUUAUUACAUAUUAGCCACGAAUACCUUUUAUACCACUGGAUUUAAACUUAUUAGACCAUAUUCUGAAACUCUCCAUCCCGGAACAAAAACUGGAGAUAGUUAUAGAUGUUGUAUGAGAAUUGUAGCUUAGAUGUGUUUUAAGAUUGCUGUUAUAGAAGAAACCUUAAUUUGAACCCCCCCUUCUUUUUUAGUCAAGAUUUGAUAGGUCAAAGGUCACAGAGUCUGCAUACCUGCUUGUAAUUUGAAAGGAAUUUAUGGGCGGAUAUUUUACCUUUUGAAUAAGGACAAGGUGAAAGCAACAACAGAGCGCCGAAGGGAAUUAUAGAUUUUCUUCUACAUUUCCUUGAAAAUGUCCAUUAAUGCUUAGACAUCCCAUCUCAUACUAUAAGGAUUCUAUAAAAACUCUUAGCACUUUUUGUUUUCUGAUCUGUAGCCUCUUUGUACUGAUCUCCUUAAUCAGCUGUGAUUUUCCUAAAUUAGGUGAGGGGUUAAGGUGCUAAAGAACCAUAGUGCUGAACUUCAUGUUAUUAUUUUUAUUCAUCUUUCCGUAGUACCCUGUGGAUCUAUUUACUUGGAUUCAGAGUUUUGAGCUCUAGUGCCUACUAUUCAUCGCUUCCUCACUUCCCACCAUGUUCCAAGUGAGCACAUGUUCACAAAUUAAAUUUGAAGAGCUUAUAUAUUUAGCUCUUCUUUGUGAUAAUUGUUUCUAGCUGCAAUCCACACCACAAUUAUCUGUGUAAACUCCAUCAAAAUUGGUAGGACAUGCAUCUACAUAAUUUUGCUCAGGAAUAUACUUUGUUUCAUUUUCAAAUAACAUAUCAUUUUUAGUAACUCAUGGACUUUGAUGGGAUCAUGUGCUAUGCAAUGUCAUACUACUUGUUGGUAUAAGUAAAGCUGUAUAUCUAGACCUUUAAUUGCAAUGUUGUCUUAAUUAAAUUUGACACUCUUUAUACUAUGAAGACCAUUAUACAGGCAGUACCUAAGUUACAAACAAGUUAGGUUCUGUAGGUUUGUUCUUAAGUUGAAUUUGUUUGUAAGUCAGAUCUCCAGCCAAAAAUACAUAUUUUUCAACUUUGGAUAGCAUAGGGAAGGGUUAACAUCCCUGUGGUGUUUGUUUUGCGGUCUGUGUCCUUGUUCACAAGAUUUCACUUAACUUUCUGUCCCUGUGAUCGUUGGAUUUUGAAAAAGUUGGUUUGUUGUGAAAACAAGAAUUGGCAAUAAAGCUUCAGUGGAGACACCUUUCCCCCCAUGAUAACUCUUUCAGGAGUGAGUUUCCCUUCUGAAGGGUAGAUUUCUCUCACUUCUUGUUCUUACCUAUGAAUUGUUUGGAAGUCAGAUGCUUGUAAUGUGGGGAGUGCCUGUAUAUCUGAUUUUUAUUUGCAAACCUCUGUAUUUAAAACAUCAGAAGUUAACAGCUUGAUAUCUUACUAUCUGUGUAUAUUUUGUACUGAAUACUACCAAACCAGUUUGGCAGCAUUUUUUAUGAGAAAAGAAAAGAAAAAAAAGAGCCUGAGUAUAAUGGCUUGGUGGUCAUUUCAGUGACAUGACACUACAGAGUCUACUAAACCUCCUACCGUUAGUGUUAUUGUUCAUUUUUAGGAAAAGAAGUACAAUUAUUCUCCAUAUGCUUUUUAAUGAAUGUUCAAAUUAUGGGCUUGGUUGGGGAACAAAAUACUCAAGCAAAUGUUGUGUAUCAAUCCACAAAUCAGUAGCCUAUACAUUAAUGUCUGCUUUGCUAAGUCAUUUGUACUUGAAUAGCAUUAAACAAGGGACAAAUCUUGUGGUAGUACGGUAGCCGAGUACAAGCUUGAUUCAGGCCAAAAUUUACACUAUAGACUCCAUAUCUCAGAGAUCAAUGAGCACAUAGAAGUCCCAACACAGUUUUCAGGCAUCUUCAACUAAGUUUUGCAUGAAAAGAACAUAUGUCUCUUGUGAAAACUAAAUUGAGAUUGAUGGUAUUUUGAGUGUAGAAGUGGAUACAUCAUUGAAUGCUACAGUUAUGAUUACCCAUGCUAUCCUAUUUCCCAUUUCUCUGGUGGACAGUGAAGAAAGCUGGAGUGUAUGUAACUGUGGACUGCUAAAAAGACAAAUGGGUCUUAGGGCAAAUAAAGCCUAGAAGCCAGAAUGACUAAACUGACUAAACUAAGAAGGUUGCCUUUUGGACAUGUUAUGAGAAGACAUGACUCACUAAAAAGGCAAUAGGAAAACAGGAAGACCACAUUUCAGACGAAUGGACUCAUUCAAGGAUACGAUAUCCCUGAAUCUGCAAGAGUUGAGCAGGGCUGUUAAGGAUAAGGUGACUUGGAGGUCUCCCAUUCAUAGGGCUGUAAUAAGUCAAAGUCAGCUUAAAGAAAGUUAAGAACAGCAACAGCGAUAUCCUGAUUGCAAUUAGCUGUGGCGAUUUUGGCAUAAAAGAACACUCUUUAACCCAAUUAAAAGGAAAAGAAAAAAUGGCAACACAUAUUUGUCUGUUUUUUGUGUGUCACUCUUUAUGGAUUGCAGAAAUAUUAAUGUUUGCAUAUUGUAAAUAGACCCAUUGAAAAAACAGGCCUGACUGAUUUGUUUGUGUGAUAUAAGUGGAACUGCACUACACAUGACUAAUUUGGAUUUAACUCAAUGUAUUUUAAAAUACAGUUAUUGAUUAUUGUUUUCUUGAUUUUUCAUUCUCUGCACUGUAGACAUAAUGCUUGUGAUUAAGUGAGGCAUUAAGUGAGCAAAAACGGAAGAAUUCUUGAGGUUAAAUUUCUCCAAUUCUAAAACCAUGCAAAAACUCUAAAGAACCUUUUUUAUAGGUGAGCAAGCUUUACAAAAUUCAGCCAAGAUUAACUUCUCAAUAAUUAUGAAGGUACUUUAUUUCAGAAAGAAGAGCAUAGUUUCCUUCCAUAGUAAAACCCUAAUAACAUCACAGCUGAAAGGUUAAUUUUAAAUUCUUGUAUACAGUUUUCUGUGUAUGCUUUGAGGGUUCUACCACAUCCUGAAAGAAAUUCACGAAUAUUGUCUUGCCCUGUUUAUUUCAUUUCUAUUGUUGUCACCAAGGAAAGAUUGUAGUUUUACUUUAGUUUAGAAGGGGUGUAUGGAGAUUCAGGUCUCAUCUACACUGCCAUAUAAUGCAUUUGAAACCAUAUUAUAUGGUCAAGUGGACUCAUAUAAUGCAAUUCAACUAAGUUAAACUUGGAAGAAAGUUUGCCUAGAAAAAGCAGCAGUAGGUUCACCUUAGAGUUGCCACAAAUCAGAUAUGACUUAUAGGGAACACAACAAUAGAAAGAGGGAUAAUAUCUCUUUAUUUAAAUCCAUAUUUUUAUUUAUAUUAAAGAUAUGAGGCUUGGAUCACAUAUAUGACAAGAAUAUUCUUAAUAAAAAUAUAAAUGUGUUCAGUGAGGCUGCAGAGACUAGGGAUUUUUCACUCCUAUUGAGAACAGGACAAUAUGUUUCGCUCUUGAAUGUCUAACCAAUUCUCCCUGUAUAGUACAGAUAAUUUUAAUAUGACUAGUUACUAUAAUAGUGCCAGUAAUUUAUGAGACCCUUUCAAAUUUGUUUUGGAAAAAGCAAAAAGCAUUUAGCGACAGAUAAAUUAGGGUGGAUAGUAAAUCACACUAUGGAAGAAAAAAAACAUUUAGACAUAUCCUGCAAUGUGUGCUGCAGACAUACCUUUUCAUUUGCACUUGUAAUAAUUACCCCCAAUCUCAUUAGAUAUGGAUGUGAAAAUUUGUUGUGGUCUUCCCCCACAAAAUAAAGUCUUACAUUAGAGGCACUGUUGGCGAUGAUGUCGGUAGUUUUGCUAUACAAUAGUAAAGGAAUAAACAGGAAUCUCUUAUUUUUAUCCUCAGUGGAAAUGAGACAAGCAUUUUCACUUCUACUAUCACAUCGAGAAAUUUGACUUCCUUCUUGGUACAAAGGAAAAUCUACAGAACUCAGUAGUUUCUGUGAAGAGUACAGAGUUUCCAGAUUAAUGAUAAAGUCGGUGUGAAACCAAAGUUCUUGUAGAAAUGAUUAGCUGGUAAUAAUGUUGCCUUUGCUGUCUUCAGUUCAGUUUUUGUUGCCAGCCUUAACAAAAAAGUCAAGGUGAAACUCUUCACUAGAGACUAACCGGGAGAGCAAAGAAUCUAAGUACAGUACUACCACAGUAUUUAAUACUUUAAAAAUGAUGUACAAAUGAGGGAGAAGAGCUGAUCAGUAGCAUAGGAUAACAAACAAAUAUAUUUUCUAUAGCAUUUGCAACUAUACACAAAGGAAAAGAAAUUAUUUUUCCAGUAGAUGAAAAAAUGUUCUUAAUAAUGGAAGAGUCCUACAAGAGAGACCCUAGUUUAAAGGUUUGAAGAAGAUGUUGAUGUCCUCUUCCAAAAUACUAGUAAUAUUUUUACAUCUUGUUUUAAAAGACUAGCAUUGAAGCCUCUGUGAUGUAGUGGUUUGAAUACUGGACUCUGAGUGGUAGCCAGAUUUCCAAUGUCCACUCAACCACAGAAAUCCACUGGGUGACUUUGGGCACGUCACACUUUCUCCGCCUCAGAGAAAGGCACUCUGAACCAAGCUUGUCAAGAGAACCCUAAAGAUAGGUUCACCUUAGGAUCAGAAAUGUCUUGAAGACAUGCAAGAAGAUGAAGUCAUAUACACGUCAGCCUUGCCAUUUCACAGCAAAUUAUUUUUUCUGUUGUAUUUUAAUCAAAAUAGAGAUACAAAGAGAUGAUCAUGUAGAGACAUUAAAAGGCACUUAUAUAAUGAUACUAUGAAGAAGAUCAAUUACAUGAAAAGGGGGAUACCAUAUUAUAAGAUACCAUAUUAUAAAAUAUGGUAAUGUUCCAAAUUCAUAUCCACAAUGCAUGAUGUAGGUAACCUCUGGUUUACUGCAAGGUGAUAACAUCUGUAGCAUUUAGUUCAGAUGGAACUUACACACUUAGGUGUGUGCCAGAGUUAAGCAAAUGCAUAUAGUCUAAACUAGGAAUGCAAAUGUUUGAUUAUUUCAUCUUCGCCAAUAGAACAAAUAAUUUCUGCAGUUCUUGCUGUGAGAAAAAUGAAUAUUUAUAUGGAGUUCUCACUUGGUAUUUGUGCAUCUUAAGGUGUUUCACAAUACUGGGGAGGUGUGCAUAACAUUUGUACAAAAUUUAUAGUUUUAAUGAAUAAUUUUAAUUCAGAUGAGCCAGAGAUAACCCCUGGGUGAUCCACAGAUGCUCAUCUUUGCAAUACAGGCAAUAAUUUUAUAGGAAAUUUAAUGUUGACAAAUCUCUCAAAAUAUGAAAUGUCUAGGGUCCUGUAAACUAGAUGCCAUGAGAAAUCAAACUGAUUAGCUGAUUUGAUUUGAAAAUACAGCAUUGUUACACAAUCUGCAUUUUAGGGAGUGUACCUCUGUCCAUUUUCUUGCAUGCAUGUGCUGUUCAUUUCAUUUGACUGUGGUAUCAAUUUGGGAUUCUCUGCUCUCCCAGUUCGUUUCUAGUUAAGAGUUUCACCUUGACUUUUUUGUUAAGGCUGGCAACAAAAACUAAACACUUUGGUCUACUUUGAAAUACUGUGUUCAGUUCUGGGCAUGCCAGUUCAGGAAGGCUAUCAACAAAGGAUAUCAACAAAUAUUUUGGAGAAGACUGAGAGGUGACAUAACUGUUUUUAAAUGCAUGAACAGGUUUCAUGUAGAAGAUGGAGCAAGCUUCAAGUUUGAAGAAGGGCAAAUCCGCUUAAACAUUAGGAAGAUUUUCCCCCCUAUAAGAACUGUUCAGCAGUGGAAUGGGCUGCCUGAGAGAGUGGCGGAAUUGUAUAUCUUUAAAUAGAUGUUAGAUAGAAGUACUUUUAAUGUGUUUUCCUUGCAUAUAUCAAGGGGUUGGACUGAAUGAUCCUUGUGGUCCAUUCCAACUCUAAGAUUCUGUGAUUCUGUGAUAGCUUGUCAAGUGCCAUAGGAUUGCAUUCUUUUUAAUGUUUUUGCAACAUGUUCAUGAAAUAAUUAUGAGUCAAUAUAUAUGGAUUUGAGGUGUGGGCUCUCACCCUUGUUUCUUUUUUAAUUUCUUUUCAUGAGUGAAGAAAUGAUAUCCUGAAUAUCAGAACUUCCUGCAUCAGUUCACCAGGUGCCAUAGGAUUCAGUCCUCUUGAAGUAGUCAGAUGAAUGAGAGAAAAUAAACCAAAGCAGUACAAGUAAUGGAAGAUCCAGCUGUUCCUGGAAUAGGGGGUUGAAACAAAUGUCUGCUAUGUCAUGAACAUGCACUUACCGUAUAUACUUGAAGAUAAGCUGAGUUUUUCAGCCCUAUUUAUGAGCUGAAAAAGCCUCCCCUGGCUUAUAAUCGGGUCAAGAUCAAGCCGGCAGCAGAGCCUGGAGGCCGUUGCUUGCAAUAUAUGAUAUAUUUAUCUCUCAUCUUACCCUCCCUCAUCAGUGUUUACUUUUACAAAGCCUCCCUCGCUCUUAACCAAGGGAAUGUUUUCAAAAGAGAAAGAAGGCCUUGCAAGUCAGGAAGAAGAAUAUAUAUAUAUAUAUAUAUACACAUUAAUCUUAUAAAAGAAUUUCCCCCUGCAAAUAUCACAGAUGAUAUGUGUGGACUGGAAAAUGUAAAUGUAAAGAAACUAAAAGAAAAUCAUAAAUGCAGUAUCUAUAUGUACUGUAUAUUUUAAAUAUGGUCAACAGUAUUAAGAUUUAAGGUUGGAUGACCCAGAGAUAUUCACGGUUGUACUACUUUGGGUGUGGGGGGCUUUGCUCCUAAUCCAUCCAGACAUGGAGGGCUGACUAUACUGUUGAGGCUCUUCUUAAUACCAUUGCUAUCUCUGAAUCUGAUUAAAUCAAAUUAAAUCAGGACCCUUGUGUCCCUUCAAUGCUGUAUGGAUUUAUAUGUUUUACUAGAUUGAAAAUAUUCAAUAUAUUUCACACUAGAUUGAAAAUAUUCAAUCUAGAGUGAAAAUGAAAAUAUUAAAUGAUAUCACUGUAGUGUCAUUCAGCUACAACACCUCAUCAUGCUGUAAGAUUGGAUGUGCAAUAAUAGUGGGUCAGUUUUGGAGACCCCAAAAUUGUAGAAUAAUGUAUUUGCUUAUAGAAAUUAGUUGUCCAGAAAUUAUAAUUAUUUGUUUAUAUAUGCAUUUUUGAAAUGUUAUCCAUUCUGAAAUUAGGUACCAAAGAACAAUGAAGUGACAGUAUUUUUUCAGUAGUUUUGAGUACACAGGUAGCUGAAAGCCAGGUGUUUGAGAGCUGAACAAUUAAAAGACUUCCAUGUAGGUGCACAGAUACGUUGCUUGUUGUUCAACCUUUAAAAAGUAUGAUUCUAAUAAAUUAUAUAUUUAAAAACUCACAUUAAAUUAAAAUCUCACCAAACAAGCAUAGAUAGCACUUAUACUUUCUGAACACUUUCUUUUAAACUGUUUGAAGCUUGUUCUGAAAGAUUCUUCCUUAUUCUUACAAGUUUUGGGUGAAGACUCCCACCCAUUGAGGAUUUGGGUUUGGAGUUGCUUAUCUUGUUUCUGCAGUGGGUCUGUGGGAGUGUGAUGUGGGGGUGUAUUGUUGCACUGCAGUGCUCCCUCCCACUACACUUUUAAAGAUGACAACAACAAGACAACAACUGCAGGUUUCUUUCUUUCCUAUAUAAGUUGCCUGGUCCUCAGGGGCUGCCUAGUUAGAUGAUCUCAGUGUUUGUAGGCUGGGAAAUGACAUUUUAAAAAACAAACCUAAAAACAAAAUUGCAGCUUUCUCUUUAAAUAACAGAAGUCUUUCUCCACAUAUGUGUGUGUGUGUGUGUGUGUGUGUGUGUGUGUGUGUAUUACACACACGCACACAUAUACACAUACAGGAUCACUAAAGUAAUGGCUAUCACUAUUUUAAAGUGCUGUUUUCUGGACUUAAUUUCUGCCACGGUAUAGUCACCAGAGGUUUUCCUCAAUUAAACAUAUAUGAAAUGAAGAAGGAGAAAUAAUGUUAAGGUAAUCUAUCUUGACAGUUUUGUUGUCAGUUCACCCCGGUGGCGAAGUGUGUUAAAGCACUGAGCUGCUGAGCUUGCAGACCGAAAGGUCCCAGGUUCAAAUCCCGGGAGCGGAAUGAGCACUGCUGUUAGCUCCAGCUUCUGCCAACCUAGCAGUUUGAAAACAUGCCAAUAUGAGUAGAUCAAUAGGUACCACUCCAGCGGGAAGGUAACGGCGCUCCAUGCCGUCAUGCUGGCCACAUGACCUUGGAGGUGUCUACGGACAAUGCCGGCUCUUUGGCUUAGAAAUGGAGAUGAGCACCAACCCCCAGAGUCAGACAUGACUGGACUUAACAUCAGGGGAAAACCUUUACCUUUAGACUUGUUUUAAUCGGAGUAUUUUAGUGUCUGUUUCAGGGCAUAUUAAUACAGAUGUAUCCAUAUUCAUGUGGAGACGAGAUCAUUUUGACUGUUCUAUUUUUUAUACAAGGUAGCAUUUCUAUUAUAUAUCACCCAGUAACUUAUAAUCAUGAAGUCAUUCCCAGCACUGCUAGGCUACAUAUAUACCUCUUUCGUGACAUUAAACUGCAGUUUUCCGCUAAUUUAACAUGUGCAUGAUAAAUCACAGCUCAUCUUGCCUAUGAUUGGUCCGGUGAUAAUAUUUUUCAGCAAAUGUUUGUUGAUUUAAGUGUAAGUCCUGGAUAUAAAGAAUGAACAUAUUGGCCUAAAUCCAAUGGUUAGUGCUAAUUAGAGUUGACCCAUUAAAUCAUUGGGAAUGUGGUAAAUUCCUUUGAUUGAGUGGAUCUAAUCUGGUCAUUAUAAAAGGCUAUUUUCUGAACACUAUCAUGUAACCAGCUUUUAUGCAGAUAAGCUCCAACACAACAUUGCCAAAGCAGUGUUCUAAUAUAGUACAAAGGAGCUUUUUAUUGCAUUCCUGGUGAAUUGUUUUAAAACAACUUUCUAAGACAUUUGUUUGCUUUUAAAAAAGAUUAUAAUGUCAAACUAUUCUUGUGUAAAAAUGAGUUAUUAUAAAGCGUUUCUUGUCUAAUUCAGAUUUGUUUAUUUCACUUCAAACUUCUGAAAAUUUUCAAUUUUUAACAUAUUAUGAAGAAUAUCAAGGAUCAGCAACCAUAAUUGGUUCCCAUGUACAGCAUGUUUUCUCAAAGAUACUGAAAAAUAAUAACCAUAUAAAGUGUACAUUUUGAAAGUUUUCAGUGGCAUAGACAAAUAUCAACUUAGCUAACUUUAUACUGUGUCCCAAUAACUUCUGUCUGACAAAAAGUCCCCUUUUGUUUAGUUCUUUGCUUAAUGAAACUUGAGAAGUAGUGUAUGCAGAAAUUGAGCAGGGGUUGAAUUAGGAAACCUCUAGGAAUGUAAAACCCUGUUGGAUAUUGCAUCUGAGUGUAGCAUUGUAAUUGUUCUGGAAUGAUAGAUAGCACAUUGUCAUUAAAUAUGGGGAUGGGGGGAAUAGACAGUCAGUAGUGAACAGUAGCAGGUGACUAAAGUUGUUGCUUUUCUCUACAUCUUAGCUAGUUUUGUUUUUUUUCAAACUGGAGCAGUGACAUGAAGCUGAGAGACACUCUAAUGCCCUGGUGUCAUUUUCACCAAGGGCCACAUCAGAAUUAUGGUUGCAUUCAAAGGGCUGGAUAUAAAAAGUUUUUUUGUUUUUUAUAUAUAAAAAGGGGGGCAGGCUGUGGCGCAGGCUGGUAAGCAGCUGCUGCAAUAAAUCACUCUGACGAAGAGGUCAUGAGAGCGAGGCCAGCCCAUGGCGGGGUGAGCACCCAUCAAUUAAAAAUAAAAUAUAGCCCCUGCUUGUUGCUGACCUAGAAAUCCGAAAGAUAGUUGCAUCUAUCAAGUAGGAAAUAAGGUACCACUUAUAAAAGUGGGGAAGCACGUUUAGCUAAUUUACAACGUUGGAAUGAGGAAGUGAGGAAGUGCCAUCAGAGUGGAUGAUGAAGCAGCUGCUCCCCCCUGUGGCCAGAAUCGAACAUCCCCUCAGGAGAAGGUUAAAUUGCCUCUGCAUCUGUCUGUCUGUCUGUCUGUCUGUCUGUCUGUCUCUGUUUGAUGUGUUUAUGGGCAUUGAAUGUUUGCCUUAUAUGUACAUAAUGUGAUCCGCCCUGGGUCCCCUUCAGGGUGAGAAGGGUGGAAUAUAAAUACUGUAAAUAAAUAAAUAAAUAAAAUUGUAAGACUGAGUAAAGUAGUUAUGUUGCUCUGGCAUUGAAAGCCUAAUAUGUAGUAGUGGUGGUGGUGGUGGUGGUGGUGGU